CACAUCGAUUCAUUGUCUACAUUUAUCUAAGCAAGAAAAAAGAACAUUACUGUGCAGAAGAAAAACAUCCUUCUCCACUCCUUUUUAUAAAAAAGACCGGAGGAGCCAUGUCUGUGUUUUUUUAAGCAUUUCAUUAAAACAGGAAAAUCAUCUUUACUGUCGAGGGGAAUCAGUUUCUAUCUCAGAUACCUUGUAAAGCAGGUUUCCUUCCUCCAUCAGCUUCUGAAGGAGGAUGAUGAGGAUGUCAGGCUUUGAAGUAGCCAUGGCCCAAGCAGCGUUCCCUGUGGAAGCAGAAGGCAAUUCAUGGUGCCGUUUUCAGCUUGAACAGACGGACAUCGUAUUCUCUUUAAUUUGGUACAAGAGUCACCACCACCGACGUGUUCCUACAACCUAUGGCCCGGUCCAGAGGCCUCAUCCCACUGUGGUCCACAUGCUCUAUCACUGCUCCUCUUUCCACCAAAUACUGGACCUAUAGGAGGCCACAGAUGGUUAAGAAAACAUGAACAAUGCAUCCACAGUCAUGAGUGCAGCUAACUCACAACAGUAUGUUUUCAAUAACCUUAGUGGAAUGUUAAUUAAGACUAAAUAAAGAUUGGGGCGUGUGGUGUUUUUGUGUCUCUGAGGA
Neolamprologus brichardi is the source of this 625-nucleotide long non-coding RNA. RefSeq lists it as uncharacterized. Lineage: Eukaryota; Metazoa; Chordata; Actinopteri; Cichliformes; Cichlidae. The record is from RefSeq and is a predicted model, not a curated record.